AUGGCGCGCCUCUUCCUCAUCCCAGAUCAGAUCCAGCGCCCCCAACCGCAUCCAUCCGUCAGAGGCGCUGGAGGCGCACUGUGCGGUUCUACUGGGCGGCGACCCGACGGCGUCCGGCGCAUCACGCGCCGAACCAUCUGUGCGGCGGCCGCUGAGUCCACCACGCCCACCCAGCCGCAGCCGGAAGAGCAGGAGGACGGGAUGAGCUCCGGGACGGGGAAUGUGGUGUGCGUCACCGGCGCGUCGGUCUACAUCGUGUCCUGGCUCGUCAAGUUCCUCCUCCAGUGUGGCUACACCAUCCGCGCCACCGUCAGCUGGUGGAUCCAUGGUUAUCGGCUGGUCCCCACUGCCGCAGCGAGGGAUUCAUCGAUUCAGUCAUUCAGUGAGUGGGGGACUAGGUUUUGUUCAGGAUGUGAAAUUGGAACUGAUAAUACAAGGAAGAAGAAGAAGAAGAAGAAGCUGACUGAAUUUGUUAGCAUGCCGUGGGUGACCGACCCCAAGAAAACAUUGCACCUGCAGGCCCUGGAUGGAGCCAAGGACAUUGCUAAUCUUCUCUGCUCCUCCUAA
Molecule: ribosomal RNA, 567 nt
Filed under: Triticum aestivum (bread wheat)
Lineage: Eukaryota; Viridiplantae; Streptophyta; Magnoliopsida; Poales; Poaceae
Description: partial small subunit ribosomal RNA
Source: RNAcentral